GACGAACGCUGGCGGCGUGCUUAACACAUGCAAGUCGAACGGAGUGGCGAACGGGUGAGUAACACGUGGGUGACCUGCCCUGCAAUUCGGGAUAAGCCUGGGAAACAGGGUCUAAUACCGGAUAGUGUGGGAUGGGCCCGCGGCCUAUCAGCUUGUUGGUGGGGUAAUGGCCUACCAAGGCGGCGACGGGUAGCCGGACUGAGAGGGUGGACGGCCACCUUGGGACUGAGGCACGGCGCAGAAUCGUACGGGAGGCAGCAGUGGGGAGUCUUGCACAGUGGGCGGAAGCCUGAUGCAGCGACGCCGCGUGGGGGAUGCCGGCCUUCGGGUUGUAAACGUAUGUGACCAUCGACGCGGUAGAUGGAGAAGAAGCAACGGCUAACUACGUGCCAGCCGCCGCGGUAAUAC
RNAcentral lists this ribosomal RNA (408 nucleotides) under uncultured bacterium. Its description in RNAcentral is "partial 16S ribosomal RNA". It matches the Rfam family "Bacterial small subunit ribosomal RNA", at positions 28 to 526 of the family's 1533-position model. The record is from RNAcentral.